GAGGAGAGACAGGAAACAAUUGGACAGGUGAGGAUUCCCUUACCAAAAAGUAGUAUAGUUUAUUUUAUUAAGUAUACUUAAGGACAGUUCAAGUAUAUUUUGCAAAACGGUUUCGGGUAUUACCCCCUCCUCAGUGCCAUGUGCUACCAGGCACACACCUGCGCUCAUUAAACUAUGUAUCCCAUUACCAAAAUACACUUAAUAUACAAAUACAUACAAAAACAUAUUUUUUUUUAUUUUCUUUACAUCAGUUUUUAUAUACAAUAAGUAAACACACUCUUUAGAGUCCCACCCCAUACUCUUAAAUUAUUAUAAAUAACAAUUCAAAGACAAUUCUUCAUUCAUACCAAGAGGAUGUAAACUUUUAAGAUCAAAGAUCCACCUACAUUCCUUCUGCAGGAGUCUAUGUUCCAAAUUCCCCCCUCUACGAGUCUGUGUCAACCUUUCAAUAACGAUAAAGUUUAGAUCCAAAACUGAAUGAGAUAUCGCAACAAAAUGCCGGGCAACGGGAGAUUUUAAAUCAUUCCUUCUAAUAGCACUCAUAUGCUCGAUGAUCCGAGUCCUAAUUUGUCUAUUUGUCUUACCUACAUAUUGUUUUUUACAUGGACAAGACAACAGAUAAAUCACAUUAGUAGAAGCACAUGUAACCAGUUGUUUGAUUUUAUAUGUACGCUCAGUAGUACAACCACGAAACUCAAAACAUAUCUUGCGUACAUUUUUACAUGCCGCACAUUUAAGACAAGGAUAAAAACCAACAUCCUUACUCACGUGUCCAUCGAUACCAUCCCUGACAUAUGUAUUCGAUUUAACUAAAAAGUCCUUAAUAAUCCUCGCUCUGUAAUGAGAAAAAAGGGGAGAUCCGCAAAAAUCGUUUUACCCACCGGAUCACUGGAUAGUAUGUGCCAAUGUUUCUUAAUGAUAUCCUUAAUGGCAUAGCUAUAUGUAGAGUAUGUAGUAGUACAUGCUACGGAGUAAGAUUUCUGUUUAGAUGAUCUACAGACAACAUUUCUUACCUUAUUCAAAGCAUCAUCCAGCCACUUACUUGGAUAACCCCUUAGACGAAAACGCUUAUACAUCUCGACCACUUUUUGUUCAAAAUCAGAUUCCAUACUACAAAAACAGCGGCACAAUUUAGUCAGGAAGUUGCUCUGUUGUUUCUGAAGUGACUCUCAGCUGGACGUUUCUUUUUACCACAAUGUCCUCUCAUCUGUGUGCUCUGAUCCUGUUUGUUCUGUGCGGUGGUGAGUAACUCUUAUUACUUUUAAAUCAGUAAACAUGGAGCAUUUAAGCACAAAUGCAUUUCCACAAGUGAUUAAUCUUUUUUUUUUUUUUUGAUGUGCAUGUGUGGGCCUCAGGAAAUGAAAUUAUAUUAAGUCUCUGUCUGAUAAUAAUGUGUUUAUUAUUUAUGCUGCAGGUGUGUUUGGUGAUACAGAUGUCAGUGUCAGUGAUGGAGGGAGAUUCUGUUACUCUGAUCAUACUGAAUAUGAUAAGAUAUUGUGGAUGUUUGGACCUCAAGAGAUUCAUAUAGCUGAAAUCUAUAAGCAGAACAUAGAUAUGCCUCACAGAAAUGAGACAUUUGGAGACAGACUCCAGGUGGACAGUCAAACUGGAUCUCUGACCAUCAGAAACAUCAGAACUGAACACACCGGAAGUACAGACAUACAUACAAAGAGGGAUCUAUACCAAGAGAUUCAUUGUUACUGUCUACACUCAUCUGCCUGUUCCUGUCAUCACCAGUAACUCCUCUAACUGUUCUUCAUCAUCUUCUGAACGUUCAGUGUCCAGAUGUUCACUGCUGAAUGUGGGUCAUGUGACUCUCUCCUGGUUCAAAGGAAACAGUUUAUUGUCCAGCAUCAGUGUGUCUGAUCUCAGCAUCAGUCUCUCUCUUCCUCUGGAGGUGGAAUAUCAGGAGAAAAACACCUACAGCUGUGUGAUCAACAAUCCCAUCAGAAACCAGACCAAACAUCUGGACAUCAGUCAACUCUGUCACACAUGUGCAGGCUCUGUUCAGUGUUGUAGUUUUACUGAAGCUGUGAUCCGAUUGGUCAUCUCUGCUCUGGUGGUCACGGCUACUGUUGCUGUAUUGGUUGAUCACUUUAGAUCCAUGAAAGCUGAAAAGAUGAGGAAACAGUCAUCACUAUCAUUUUCGCCACGAUAAAUCAUGUGUUCUCCAAUGUGGUCGCUAGAUGGCAAAAUCAAACAUCUGUCCGUAAAGGAUUAGUUCACUUCCAGAAUAAAAAAUUCCCAAUAAUUUACUCACCCUCAUG
Molecule: long non-coding RNA, 2267 nt
Organism: Onychostoma macrolepis
Lineage: Eukaryota; Metazoa; Chordata; Actinopteri; Cypriniformes; Cyprinidae
Exons: 3
Source: RefSeq, a predicted model, not a curated record